Molecule: ribosomal RNA, 723 nt
Filed under: uncultured bacterium
Lineage: Bacteria
Description: bacterial SSU rRNA
Rfam family: Bacterial small subunit ribosomal RNA
Source: RNAcentral
UAAUGCUUGGGAAUCUGGCUUAUGGAGGGGGAUAACUACUGGAAACGGUAGCUAAUACCGCGUAAGGUCUAAGGACAAAAGGGGGCGUAAGCUCCUGCCAUAAGAUGAGCCCAAGUGGGAUUAGGUAGUUGGUGAGGUAAUGACUCACCAAGCCUGCGAUCUCUAACUGGUCUGAGAGGACGACCAGCCACACCGGGACUGAGACACGGCCCGGACUCCUACGGGAGGCAGCAGUGGGGAAUAUUGCGCAAUGGGGGGAACCCUGACGCAGCCAUGCCGCGUGAAUGAAGAAGGCCUUCGGGUUGUAAAGUUCUUUCGGUGAUGAGGAAGGUGAUAAGGUUAAUACCCUUAUUAAUUGACGUUAGUCACAGAAGAAGCACCGGCUAACUCCGUGCCAGCAGCCGCGGUAAUACGGAGGGUGUGAGCGUUAAUCGGAAUAACUGGGCGUAAAGGGCACGCAGGCGGAUUUUUAAGUGAGGUGUGAAAGCCCCGGGCUUAACCUGGGAAUUGCAUUUCAGACUGGGAAUCUAGAGUACUUUAGGGAGGGGUAGAAUUCCACGUGUAGCGGUGAAAUGCGUAGAGAUGUGGAGGAAUACCGAAGGCGAAGGCAGCCCCUUGGGAAUGUACUGACGCUCAUGUGCGAAAGCGUGGGGAGCAAACAGGAUUAGAUACCCUGGUAGUCCACGCUGUAAACGCUGUCGAUUUGGGGGUUGGGCUUUAAGC